This 348-nucleotide unclassified non-coding RNA is filed under the name Nocardia cyriacigeorgica. Its description in RNAcentral is "16S-23S ribosomal RNA intergenic spacer". The record is from RNAcentral. Lineage: Bacteria; Bacillati; Actinomycetota; Actinomycetes; Mycobacteriales; Nocardiaceae.
CUAAGGAGCACUUCUCCACGACGCUUCACACAGGUGAAUGUGGUUGUGGCAGAGACCGUUUAGUUCCCAAUCGUGGAACUGCGGAAGCUCAUGGGUGGAACGCUGACAAGCUUCAACGCAUCAUGGUCGAGGCCAUGUCCUCGAUCGCGGUGAAUAUAUCGACACACUGUUGGGUCCUGAAAGAACAGACGUUCUUUCCAGGCAAAAAAUACGACGAGGCUGAUCUUCAGUCAUACCGCCGGGUCUUCGGGUUCGGGCUGGUGCUGAGUCAAGGGUUGGUCUUGUGUGUUGUUUGAGAACUGCACAGUGGACGCGAGCAUCUUUGUUAGUAAGUGUGUAAGAGCGUAC